RNAcentral lists this ribosomal RNA (443 nucleotides) under uncultured bacterium. Its description in RNAcentral is "partial 16S ribosomal RNA". It matches the Rfam family "Bacterial small subunit ribosomal RNA", at positions 338 to 795 of the family's 1533-position model. The record is from RNAcentral.
CCUACGGGUGGCAGCAGUGAGGAAUAUUGGUCAAUGGGCGGAAGCCUGACCCAGCAACGCCGCGUGAAGGAAGAAGGCUUUCGGGUUGUAAACUUCUUUUCUCAGGGACGAAGCAAGUGACGGUAACUGAGGAAUAAGCCACGGCUAACUACGUGCCAGCAGCCGCGGUAAUACGGAGGGGGCAAGUGUUAUGCGGAUUUACUGGGGGGAAAGGGCGUGUAGGCGGGACUGCAAGUCAGAUGUGAAAACCACGGGCUCAACCUGUGGCCUGCAUUUGAAACUGUCGUUCUUGAGUACUGGAGAGGCAGAUGGAAUUCCUAGUGUAGCGGUGAAAUGCGUAGAGAUUAGGAGGAACACUAGUUGCGAAGGCGGUCUGCUAGACAGCAACUGACGCUGAUGCGCGAAAGCGUGGGGAGCAAACAGGAUUAGAUACCCCGGUAGUC